GCGGAUUGUGGUCGUGGUUGGGACUGAGGUGCCUACAACGUGCUUUGGAGUGUUCCGGGUUCUCACGUGGUGUGCUGUUUGUAUAGCUUGCUAUGCUUGUGGUGUUCACCGUUUGAUUGAGUCUGGUUUGUGCUUCUUGCCGUUCGGGACUUUGACGAAAUGGAGCGAUUCGGCCCGUCUUGAAACACGGACCAAGGAGUCUAACAUGUGUGCAAGUGUUAGGGUUGGAAACCCGAGCGCGCAAUGAAAGUAAAGGUCUGAGGUAGGAAACCUUUCUUCUGAGAGGUGGCACUAUCGACCGAUCCCGAACCUUCGUGGUGAAAGAUUUGAGUAUGAGCACAUAUGUUGGUACCCGAAAGAUGGUGAACUAUGCCUGAGUAGGGUGAAGCCAGGGGAAACUCUGGUGGAAGCUCGUAGCGAUUCUGACGUGCAAAUCGAUCGUCAAACUUGGGUAUAGGGGCGAAAGACUAAUCGAACCAUCUAGUAGCUGGUUCCCUCCGAAAUUUCCCUCAGGAUAGCAGCAACUUAUUUACGAUAGUUUUAUGAGGUAAAGCGAAUGAUUAGAGGAUUGUGGGAAGCAACUUUCUGCACCUAUUCUCAAACUUUAAAUCUGUAAGACCUGCAGGUUUCUUAAUUGAACUUGUGGAUGUGAAUAUCAAGUUGCUAGUGGGCCAUACCGGGUAAGCUGGUCUGGCGAUGCGGGAUGAUCCGAACGCGAAGUUAAAGUGCCAAAAUACCCGCUCACCUAGAUCCCAUAAAAGGUGUUGGUUCAUCUAG
Molecule: ribosomal RNA, 777 nt
Filed under: uncultured stramenopile
Lineage: Eukaryota
Description: LSU rRNA
Rfam family: Eukaryotic large subunit ribosomal RNA
Source: RNAcentral